CGUGAACCAUCGAAGUCUUUGAACGCAAGUUGCGCCCGACGCCUUCGGGCUGAGGGCACGCCUGCCUGGGCGUCA
Molecule: ribosomal RNA, 75 nt
Filed under: Plantago ovata (blond plantain)
Lineage: Eukaryota; Viridiplantae; Streptophyta; Magnoliopsida; Lamiales; Plantaginaceae
Description: partial 5.8S ribosomal RNA
Source: RNAcentral